Molecule: ribosomal RNA, 254 nt
Filed under: uncultured bacterium
Lineage: Bacteria
Description: partial 16S ribosomal RNA
Rfam family: Bacterial small subunit ribosomal RNA
Source: RNAcentral
UACGUAGGGGGCGAGCGUUGUCCGGAUUUAUUGGGCGUAAAGAGCUCGUAGGCGGUUUGGUAAGUUGGAUGUGAAAUCUCCAGGCUCAACUUGGAGGGGUCAUUCGAUACUGCCAUGGCUAGAGUUCGGUAGGGGAGUGUGGAAUUCCUGGUGGAGCGGUGAAAUGCGCAGAUAUCAGGAGGAACACCCGUAGCGAAGGCGGCACUCUGGGCCGGAACUGACGCUGAGGAGCGAAAGCGUGGGGAGCGAACAGG